UGGGGAAUAUUGCACAAUGGGCGCAAGCCUGAUGCAGCCAUGCCGCGUGUGUGAAGAAGGCCUUCGGGUUGUAAAGCACUUUCAGCGGGGAGGAAGGGAGUAAAGUUAAUACCUUUGCUCAUUGACGUUACCCGCAGAAGAAGCACCGGCUAACUCCGUGCCAGCAGCCGCGGUAAUACGGAGGGUGCAAGCGUUAAUCGGAAUUACUGGGCGUAAAGCGCACGCAGGCGGUUUGUUAAGUCAGAUGUGAAAUCCCCGGGCUCAACCUGGGAACUGCAUCUGAUACUGGCAAGCUGGAGUCUCGUAGAGGGGGGUAGAAUUCCCGGUGUAGCGGUGAAAUGCGUAGAGAUCUGGAGGAAUACCGGUGGCGAAGGCGGCCCCCUGGACGAAGACUGACGCUCAGGUGCGAAAGCGUGGGGAGCAAACAGG
Molecule: ribosomal RNA, 429 nt
Filed under: Chloroflexota bacterium
Lineage: Bacteria; Bacillati; Chloroflexota
Description: Chloroflexi bacterium partial 16S ribosomal RNA
Rfam family: Bacterial small subunit ribosomal RNA
Source: RNAcentral